UGCAACCCGACUCCGUGAAGCUGGAUUCGCUAGUAAUCGCGCAUCAGCCAUGGCGCGGUGAAUACGUUCCCGGGCCUUGUACACACCGCCCGUCAAGCCAUGGGAGCCGGGGGUGCUUGAAGUGCGUCGCCGCGAGGCGCGCCCUAGAGCAAAACCGGUGACUGGGGCUAAGUCGUAACAAGGUACC
Molecule: ribosomal RNA, 187 nt
Filed under: uncultured bacterium
Lineage: Bacteria
Description: partial 16S ribosomal RNA
Rfam family: Bacterial small subunit ribosomal RNA
Source: RNAcentral